Molecule: long non-coding RNA, 651 nt
Organism: Benincasa hispida (wax gourd)
Lineage: Eukaryota; Viridiplantae; Streptophyta; Magnoliopsida; Cucurbitales; Cucurbitaceae
Source: RefSeq, a predicted model, not a curated record
GCAUAUAUGAUGAAUGAAUCAUUGGUAUUUUGUUCUUAGAACAUAACUAGAAUUGAGACGAGGUUCAAUCGAGAUGAUAGAAAUGAUGAUAGACUUCCAUAGAAUAAGAUAUGUGGUGAAUUUUCAAUGUUUAGACAAAAUGUGCGACCAUUAGGAGCACCAAAGGACAUUAUCGAGAGAAGAGAAAUGUAGUGCACAUUGGUACAUCUUGAACAAUUGCAUGGAAAUAAAAUCUUAUCGGAGGAAAUAUUUGUGACUAAUUCGACAUGAAGCUCAAAGUCAGGAUGAUUCAUACGCAACAAGGCUUUCCUAAUUGGUUCAAAUCUCAUGUUCUUUCAUUGCGUGAAAAUGGAGAUAUGUCAGAUGAUAUAUAUUCACUAGCGAUGGGACUGACUUCAGAAGUAUGCUCGUACAGUGGAUGUAUGUUAAUGGAGUAUGCUAUCAUAGUAUUAAGCGUGAUAAUUGUCAGAGUAUACAAAAUAGCAGGAUCAUGGUGCCUUCAGAAAGUGAAGGUGGAGUUGAUCUCCAUAAUUUAUAUGGUGUUAUCAAUGAAGCCUUGUACUUCCACUAUGCCAAGAGAAGACGUGUAAUUAUGUUUAAGUGUACAUGGUUCGACACAAACCCUAAAAAGACCAAUAGAGUACACAUGGA